AUGGCUCUGACCGUGCUAUCCCUAUGGGCGUCUGGCAUUACAAAAUCAGAUGCAACUCGCAAGCUGGAUGAAGUAUCCGCAGAGUUCCUAACAAAGUUUCUUGCAAACAGACUCCAGAAGGAUUGUAUUGCUUGGAGUUUUGAAUACAUUCAUCAAUGCCGUCAAUCUAAAAAGCCAAUUUUCAUUCUCAAGCUUGAUUUUGCAAAAGAUUUUGAUACUGUGGAACAUGAGUUGAUCCUUCAGAUGCUUAAAUUCAAAGGAUUUGAUGAAAAAUGGAUUGGUUGGAGUAAGCAGUUACUCUGA
Molecule: ribosomal RNA, 303 nt
Filed under: Triticum aestivum (bread wheat)
Lineage: Eukaryota; Viridiplantae; Streptophyta; Magnoliopsida; Poales; Poaceae
Description: partial small subunit ribosomal RNA
Source: RNAcentral